GGCCGCGGGAAUUCGAUUUUGGAGGGCAAGUCUGGUGCCAGCAGCCGCGGUAAUUCCAGCUCCAAUAGCGUAUAUUAAAGUUGUUGCAGUUAAAAAGCUUGUAGUUGAAUUUCAGGAUUAGUAUGUUGGUCAUGCCUCUGGUAUGUACUGAUCUCACUGAUUCCUCCCUCUUGACAAACUGUAAUGUCGUUAAUUUGGUGUUGCAGGAAAUCAGGACUGUUACUUUGAAAAAAUUAGAGUAUUUAAAGCAGGCUAAGGCUUGAAUACAUUAGCAUGGAAUAAUGAAAUAGGACGUUUGAACCUAUUUUGUUGGUUUCUAGGAUCACCGUAAUGAUUAAUAGGGAUAGUUGGGGGCAUUAGUAUUCAAUUGUCAGAGGUGAAAUUCUUGGAUUUAUUGAAGACUAACUUCUGCGAAAGCAUUUGCCAAGGAUGUUUUCAUUAAUCAAGAACGAAAGUUAGGGGAUCGAAGACGAUCAGAUACCGUCGUANUCUUAACCAUAAACUAUGCCGACUAGGGAUCGGAUGAUGUUAAUUUUUUAAUGACUCAUUCGGCGCCUUACGGGAAACAAUCACUA
RNAcentral lists this ribosomal RNA (575 nucleotides) under Rhizophagus fasciculatus. RNAcentral's name for it is "bacterial SSU rRNA". It matches the Rfam family "Eukaryotic small subunit ribosomal RNA", at positions 531 to 1105 of the family's 1831-position model. Lineage: Eukaryota; Fungi; Glomeromycota; Glomeromycetes; Glomerales; Glomeraceae. The record is from RNAcentral.